Molecule: ribosomal RNA, 397 nt
Filed under: uncultured bacterium
Lineage: Bacteria
Description: partial 16S ribosomal RNA
Rfam family: Bacterial small subunit ribosomal RNA
Source: RNAcentral
AUACGUAGGUGGCAAGCGUUGUCCGGAAUUAUUGGGCGUAAAGCGCGCGCAGGUGGUUCCUUAAGUCUGAUGUGAAAGCCCCCGGCUCAACCGGGGAGGGUCAUUGGAAACUGGGGAACUUGAGUGCAGAAGAGGAUAGUGGAGUUCCAAGUGUAGCGGUGAAAUGCGUAGAGAUUUGGAGGAACACCAGUGGCGAAGGCGACUGUCUGGUCUGUAACUGACACUGAGGCGCGAAAGCGUGGGGAGCAAACAGGAUUAGAUACCCUGGUAGUCCACGCCGUAAACGAUGAGUGCUAAGUGUUGGGGGGUUUCCGCCCCUCAGUGCUGCAGCUAACGCAUUAAGCACUCCGCCUGGGGAGUACGGUCGCAAGACUGAAACUCAAAGGAAUUGGCGGGG